CGGCACGGGUGAGUAACACGUAUCCAACCUGCCGUCUACUCUUGGACAGCCUUCCGAAAGGAAGAUUAAUACAAGAUGGCAUCAUGAGUCCACAUGUUCACAUGAUUAAAGGUAUUCCGGUAGACGAUGGGGAUGCGUUCCAUUAGAUAGUAGGCGGGGUAACGGCCCACCUAGUCUUCGAUGGAUAGGGGUUCUGAGAGGAAGGUCCCCCACAUUGGAACUGAGACACGGUCCAA
Molecule: ribosomal RNA, 236 nt
Filed under: uncultured bacterium
Lineage: Bacteria
Description: partial 16S ribosomal RNA
Rfam family: Bacterial small subunit ribosomal RNA
Source: RNAcentral